GACGAACGCUGGCGGCGUGCUUAACACAUGCAAGUCGAACGGCAAGGCCCUGCGUUUGUGGGGUGCUCGAUUGCCGAACGGGUGAGUAACACGUGUGUAUCCUGCCCUUCAUUUUGGGAUAACUUCAGGAAACUGGGCUUACUACCGGACCGGAUCUCCCGCUCCAGGGGGGGGGUGGGAAAUUCUGGGCGUUUGGGGAUGGUCGCGCGGCUUAUCAGCUUGCUGGUGGGGUAGUGGCGUACCAAGGCUUUGACGGGUAGCCGGCCUGAGAGGGUGACCGGACUCAAUAGGCCUAAGGUACGGACCAGACUGCAACGGGAGGCAGCGGUGGGGAAUAUUGCACAACGAGAGGAAGCCUGAUGAGACAACGCCGGGUGCGGGAUGACGGCCUUCGGGUUGUAAACCGCAGUCGCCUGAGACGAAGCGUGAGUGACGGUAACGGAUAAAGAAGCACCGGCUAACUACGUG
Molecule: ribosomal RNA, 468 nt
Filed under: uncultured bacterium
Lineage: Bacteria
Description: partial 16S ribosomal RNA
Rfam family: Bacterial small subunit ribosomal RNA
Source: RNAcentral